UUGCUUGCCUCCAGCCUGCUUGAAUCUGGAGUGGUUCUGGGCAUUCCUACAGUGCUUUGCAAGAUCAGCUUUGAAAUGGUCUGAGGCCUUACUUGAUACUGUCUAUAGAACAAGGUUAUAGAAAUUUCACACAGUU
Echinops telfairi (small Madagascar hedgehog) is the source of this 136-nucleotide small nucleolar RNA. NCBI's taxonomy places the organism in Eukaryota, Metazoa, Chordata, Mammalia, Afrosoricida, Tenrecidae. The record is from Ensembl.